CUUUGGAAGCUGUCACCGGAAGAUGAGUCCGCGGCCCAUUAGCUAGUUGGUGAGGUAAUGGCUCACCAAGGUAUAGACGGGUAGCUGGUCUGAGAGGAUGAUCAGCCACAUUGGGAUUGUGAUACGGCCCAGACUCCUACGGGAGGCAGCAGUGGGGAAUAUUGGGCAAUGGGCGAAAGCCUGACCCAGCCACGCCGCGUGAGUGAUGAAGGCCUUCGGGUCGUAAAGCUCUGUGGGGAGGGACGAACAAGCGCGUAUUUAAUACAUGCGUGCUUUGACGGUACCUCCUUAGCAAGCACCGGUUAACCAUGUGCCAGUAGUUGUGGUAAUACAUGGGGUGCAAACGUUGCUCGGAAUUAUUGGGCGUAAAGCGCGCGUAGGCGGUUAUCUAAGUCGGAUGUGAAAGCCCUUGGUUUAACCAAGGAAGUGCAUCCGAGACUGAAUAGCUAGAGUACGAAAGAGGGUCGCGGAAUUCCCGGUGUAGAGUGAAAUUUGUAGAUAUCGGGAGGAACACCGGUGGUGAAGGUGGCGACCUGGUUCGAGACUGACGCUGAGGCGCGAAAGCGUGGGGAGUAAACAGGAUUAGAUAUCCUGGUAGUCCACGCCGUAAACGAUGGAUGCUAGAUGUUUCUGGUAUUGAUCCCGGAGGCGUCGUAGCUAAUGUGUCAAGCAUCCCGCCUGGGGAGUACGGCCGCAAGGCUAAAACUCAAAGGAAUUGACGGGGGCCCGCACAAGCGGUGGAGCAUGUGGUUCAAUUCGACCAUGCGAAGAACUUUACCUGGGUUGGAACUCUCCAGAAGUCCGCAGAGAUGUGGAUGUGCCCGUAAGGGAACUGGAUGUCCAGGUGCUGCAUGGCUGUCGUCAGCUCGUGUUGUGAGAUGUUGGGUUAAGUCCCGCAACGAGCGCAACCCUUGUCGUUAGUUGCUAACAGUUCGGCUGAGCACUCUAGCGAGACUGCCGGUGUUAAACCGGAGGAAGGUGGGGAUGACGUCAAGUUUUCAUGGCCCUUAUGCCCAGGGCUACACACGUGCUACAAUGGUCGGUACAAAUCGUCGCUAACCCGCGAGGGGGAGUCAAUCGCAAAAAACCGGCCUCAGUUCAGAUUGCAGUCUGUAAUUUGACUGCAUGAAGUUGGAAUCGCUAGUAAUCCCUGAUUAGUAGGCAGGGGUGAAUACGUUCCCGGGCCUUGUAUAUAUCGCCCGUCACACCAUGGGAGUCAGUUGCUCCAGAAGUGGCUGUGCCAACC
RNAcentral lists this ribosomal RNA (1246 nucleotides) under metagenome. RNAcentral describes it as "bacterial SSU rRNA". It matches the Rfam family "Bacterial small subunit ribosomal RNA", at positions 208 to 1440 of the family's 1533-position model. The record is from RNAcentral.